CCUACGGGAGGCUGCAGUGGGGAAUAUUGGGCAAUGGGCGCAAGCCUGACCCAGCAACGCCGCGUGAAGGAAGAAGGCCCUCGGGUUGUAAACUUCUUUUAUUCGGGACGAAACAAAUGACGGUACCGAAUGAAUAAGUCACGGCUAACUACGUGCCAGCAGCCGCGGUAAUACGUAGGCGGCAAGCGUUAUCCGGAUUUACUGGGUGUAAAGGGUGUGUAGGCGGGAGGGCAAGUCAGACGUGAAAUUCCAGGGCUCAACCCUGAAACUGCGAUUGAAACUGUUCGUCUUGAGUAAUGGUGAGGCAGGCGGAAUUCGGGGUGUAGCGGUGAAAUGCGUAGAUAUACGGAAGAACACCGGUGGCGAAGGCAGCCUACUAGACAUUAACUGACGCUGAGGCGCGAAAGCGUGGGGAGCAAACAGGAUUAGAUACCCGGGUAGUC
Molecule: ribosomal RNA, 443 nt
Filed under: uncultured bacterium
Lineage: Bacteria
Description: partial 16S ribosomal RNA
Rfam family: Bacterial small subunit ribosomal RNA
Source: RNAcentral